RNAcentral lists this ribosomal RNA (507 nucleotides) under uncultured bacterium. Its description in RNAcentral is "partial 16S ribosomal RNA". It matches the Rfam family "Bacterial small subunit ribosomal RNA", at positions 28 to 507 of the family's 1533-position model. The record is from RNAcentral.
GACGAACGCUGGCGGCGUGCCUAAUACAUGCAAGUCGAACGCAUUUUCUUUCACCGUAGCUUGCUACACCGAAAGAAAAUGAGUGGCGAACGGGUGAGUAACACGUGGGUAACCUGCCCAUCAGCGGGGGAUAACACUUGGAAACAGGUGCUAAUACCGCAUAAUUCCAUUUACCGCAUGGUAGAUGGGUGAAAGGCGCUUUUGCGUCACUGAUGGAUGGACCCGCGGUGCAUUAGCUAGUUGGUGGGGUAACGGCCUACCAAGGCUGCGAUGCAUAGCCGACCUGAGAGGGUGAUCGGCCACACUGGGACUGAGACACGGCCCAGACUCCUACGGGAGGCAGCAGUAGGGAAUCUUCGGCAAUGGACGCAAGUCUGACCGGGCAACGCCGCGUGAGUGAAGAAGGUUUUCGGAUCGUAAAACUCUGUUGUUAGAGAAGAACAAGGAUGAGAGUGGAAAGUUCAUCCCUUGACGGUAUCUAACCAGAAAGCCACGGCUAACUACGUG